Molecule: long non-coding RNA, 2489 nt
Organism: Cucumis sativus (cucumber)
Lineage: Eukaryota; Viridiplantae; Streptophyta; Magnoliopsida; Cucurbitales; Cucurbitaceae
Exons: 4
Source: RefSeq, a predicted model, not a curated record
GAUUGAAGAUGAAUGAGUGUGAAAUGAUCAUAGAUGGAAAUUUUGUUAUGAGAGGCUUCAUAAACGUUCAUUUUAUUCUCAUUGUAUCGUAGACAUGGUUAUCUAAUUAACUUUUAAACUAGUUUUUGAAUAAUUAUGACAGUACCUGAAUCAAGGGGCUACGUCCUUUUAGUUUAGUAUGAAGACAAUUAAGAUUUUUUGACGUUUUGUGGGGAGAUUCUAGAUAUAAAUCGUUGAAGGACCUCGAAUGAAAAUUUCAAUCGUCAUGCAAAUCUAAAGGAUCUGUCUUUUGGGUAUGCAUCACCAUGUGGAACAUCGUGUUGAUUUUAUGGAAUGGGUUCCAGGUUUGGAUUCAAUGCUUCUACUUUUCGUGCUCUAAAUAAAAUAUAAUCCUGGAACAUAUGUAAUGAUUGAUGAACAUCAUGUUGUAAAUGCAAAACAUUCCAAAUUAUGUGGGUAACUUGAAUCUAAAUUUAACAUAGCUGGCUCGUUUCCUCAGUUGGGAGAAUAUCUCUAGCCCAACCAUUUCUUUCCACAUUUUUGUUCAUUCUGCAGGUUCUGCGAACUUGAACUUUUUUCAUCAUCAUUUGGGCUCUUUAAGAAUAUAGCAACUUGAUUAUUUUAUAAACAGUUCAGUGAAUGGCCUUCUCGGUCAUGUCUGAGGAAGAUGAUCCUUACCCAUCUUGGGAUAAAACAAAAACACCUAUUCGUAUUUUUCUUCAAGGAUGCAAGGUAAAGAAGCUGCUGAAUUUUGUUCUAUUCUGCUUCUAUUUAUAUAUGUAUAUAUUUUCUUUUGACUUUUACUGAUCCUUUAUUUAUUUUCUAAUUUUUUUGUAACCUUAACCGAAUAUAAUUGAUUGUUGAAUACUUCUGAGUAACUCUUGAGCCAAGCCAAUCAGAUUUCGUAUGUAAAUUAGUUAAUUAGCUGUUUGGCAUUUAAGGAUUUAAUUGAUUUUGAUAAUUUAAUGUCAAUUUUUGGAAUGGGUAAUGGAUUAUUGGCUCAAUAUAUUAUGUUGCCUAAGGUGGUUUCUACUUUAUUAUGUUGGUAUUGUUGCUCAACACUUAUUGUUUUUUCCAGUUCUUUUGCAUUUGCGUUGUUUUAAAAAAAAAAUCUUGAAUUUUGAAAGAAGUUGAGAAUGCUGAGAGACAAAAUAACAUAGGAAGAUGCUGAUAUUUUUUUAGCAAGUUUGACUGUACCAAGUUUUUUUGUUAAGUAGCUAAGACAAUAGUGGGUACUGAGAAUUUAUGAAUUUUACUUGUCCACAUGUGCGUGAGCCAUUUCAUUGUUACUACAAGAGAAUCAGACAAGUAUGUCCGUGAACUGCUGCCUCUUUUUAUGGGGUUUGUUUUUUAAGUAUCUUCCUUGUCCAUGAGUAUGAUUAAUAGAUAUUACUCUUCAUGCUAAUUCCUGAGAUUUCUUUAAAUUUUCUUAUGGAGAAGGGUAUUAAUGACAUAAUGUUUCCACUGCCAGGAUUGAAGUUUUUAACUUAUCUUUGGAGGUAAUUGAGUUCUUAGGUCUAUGAUGGUCUCAAUUAGUAUCUGAUAUACAAUUGAUACUCCAAUAUUUCUUUUCUUUACAACUAUUGAAUCAUUGUUUGGAGACUUUGGCGAAUUACCACCGCAGAGAUCAGGCCUUUUACCUAGAUUCACAUUUGAUUAUUCUAAAAAUAGAAUGGUUCUGAUUGAUUAAUAAAUUCCAUUUUGUCUUUCAGCUGCGGCUUUUGUAGUGUUUCAACCAAGGGAGGCAGUCUGUCUGCCAUAAUGAUCUUCAUUGGUCUUCAACUUUUAGAUUUUUUUGUUCGUCUUCAACUUGGUUUGUUUAAAUUUAAAUAUGUUAGAUUAAAGUUUAGGUAAGUUUGAAAUCACGCUAUUUUGAACUCAAAUAAAGUAUGUUAAUUCAGUUUCUAACAUGAUUUUAGCUUGUUGUUUGUAGUUUGUUACUAGCUUGAGCUAAUGAACUAAGGAGAAUUAUUGGUUUUAGUUGAUUUUGGAUAAUAUUAUUGCUCCUAAACAUUCUCUUAAUAUAUGUUGAUUAAGUUAUUUGAAUUAUAUAUUGUAAACAUUGUGUUUGUUGUUUAGACCUCAAGGACGUUGUCGUUAUUUGUUCAAGAAAGUAGAUCUUCGGAUUGAAAAUUGUGAGCUUCAAUCUAGAUAGAAGGGGAUAUUUUGGCUAUCAAGAAAGCACUUCUUGUUGUCUCUCGCCGUCUUGUGCAGGACCAGAGAUGAUUGAGGUUUUGAAAGAAUCUAUUGGAGCAGUGAAGUCGUAUUAGAGCAAUUGAUCGAUAUAAGACUUUUUGUAUGGUUGGUAGCAAAAUUUUGGUUCUAAUGUGCUUAUUUUAGGCUUGUUGGUAGGAAAAUGUGUCUCUGUUUAUUCUAUUUUUAUGUAAACCCUUUACCAAAAAUGCUUAUUAGUCAAUCUUAUUGUACAAAUAUUACAAAGUGUAUAAUAACGUAUGUAUGUUAAUGUGUUGACUGUUUGUUUCCUUAUA